This is a long non-coding RNA of Betta splendens (Siamese fighting fish), 643 nucleotides long. RefSeq lists it as uncharacterized. The transcript is spliced from 2 exons. The record is from RefSeq and is a predicted model, not a curated record. NCBI's taxonomy places the organism in Eukaryota, Metazoa, Chordata, Actinopteri, Anabantiformes, Osphronemidae.
GUUGGCGGCCAUGUUGGUGAGGGAGCCACAAAGACUGCGUCAAUACGCACAUAGGAUACGUCCGUAAACUUUUACAUUUGAUGCAAUUUAUUCUUUGUCAAAGAGUAAAGUUUAAACUUUAAAGACGUCUAGAGGUACUAGAUUGUCUCUGAUAGAACUUCAAGGCUUUCUGCUGGUAGUGCCAGCUCUCCCUCACUAAGUAGUGAAUGCAGGCGAGCAGCGGUGGCGUUUUGCCUCCGACAGGUUUUCCAGUAUCUCAGCAUGGCAAAUACGCGCUCCCUGUGGGUAGUGUGGUCCUCCUCAAUCUGCUCCAGCUUUACAGAGGGGAUGUCCAGAGACAUUCUGCCAAUUUCUCGCCAGGAUUUGCCAACAGAUCGGGCGACAAUCAUCAGCUGCUUCUCUGUUACUAAAGGACAACCUGCGCAGGACACAAGCAGAUAAAGGAAGUGAGAUAAAUGAUAAAAACACAUUUAAAAUGAAUUAUCUUUGAGUGCAGUGCAACUGACCUUUGGUUUGUUUUAUUGGAACUGGCUCUUGUAAAUCUGGAGUGUGAUGUCUCUUUCCUGCUCCUUGUUUGUUUGUUUCACCUGAAAGUGGUGCGUUCACUUGAAAAUCCUUAAUAAAAUGAAGCCUUGGGAAGGUU